This is a non-coding RNA of Podarcis lilfordi (Lilford's wall lizard), 72 nucleotides long. NCBI's taxonomy places the organism in Eukaryota, Metazoa, Chordata, Lepidosauria, Squamata, Lacertidae. The record is from the annotation of a GenBank genome assembly.
AUAGCUUAGAUGCAAGUGUGUGUGUGUGUGUGUGUGUGUAUACACACACAUACAAUUGCAUCUAAGUUAUCU